GACGAACGCUGGCGGCGUGCCUAAUACAUGCAAGUAGAACGCUGAAGGAGGAGCUUGCUUCUCUGGAUGAGUUGCGAACGGGUGAGUAACGCGUAGGUAACCUGCCUGGUAGCGGGGGAUAACUAUUGGAAGCGAUAGCUAAUACCGCAUAAUAGCAGUUAUUGCAUGAUAACUGUUUGAAAGGUGCAAUUGCACCACUACCAGAUGGACCUGCGUUGUAUUAGCUAGUUGGUGGGGUAACGGCUCACCAAGGCGACGAUACAUAGCCGACCUGAGAGGGUGAUCGGCCACACUGGGACUGAGACACGGCCCAGACUCCUACGGGAGGCAGCAGUAGGGAAUCUUCGGCAAUGGACGGAAGUCUGACCGAGCAACGCCGCGUGAGUGAAGAAGGUUUUCGGAUCGUAAAGCUCUGUUGUAAGAGAAGAACGAGUGUGAGAGUGGAAAGUUCACACUGUGACGGUAUCUUACCAGAAAGGGACGGCUAACUACGUG
This 495-nucleotide ribosomal RNA is filed under the name uncultured bacterium. Its description in RNAcentral is "partial 16S ribosomal RNA". It matches the Rfam family "Bacterial small subunit ribosomal RNA", at positions 28 to 507 of the family's 1533-position model. The record is from RNAcentral.